Molecule: long non-coding RNA, 2896 nt
Filed under: Marmota monax (woodchuck)
Lineage: Eukaryota; Metazoa; Chordata; Mammalia; Rodentia; Sciuridae
Source: RNAcentral
AUGGUGCGGGAAUCUGAAAUCUCUAUUUUUUUCCACAGGAAUUGGGAACAACAAUGAGGACAAGCUUAUUCAUGAGGAAGGACACUGUGAUGGAGAAUAUCAAGGGAUAUGCCCAAGAACAGUGUUACCUAUUUUGGGACUCAGUCUCAAGAAACACAUUCAGAAUCUUAAAUUAGGAAAAUCUCAAGGCAACUGCUUGGUGCCAUAGACUGCCAAAACUUUUGGGGCUGGGUACUACUCCCAGACUGUGAACUCACUGGCCACAGGAAACCUAUGCCUGGUGAGAAAUGUUACAGCUGCACUGAUUGUAGCAAGAGUUUCCUGAACUCUUAACCCAUCAUCUUAACCCAUGGGUUACUCUCUAACCCAUCAUCUUCAAAGUCAUGUUUGUGAGAAGGCUUAAUCCUGUUCCAACUGUGGAAAACAUUUCAGCCAACAUUCCAACCUGUUCCAGCAUCAGCGGAUUCACUAGAGAGAUAAGCCCUACAAGUGCAGGUCCUAUGAGAAAGAUUUUGCUUAGAAUGCAUCCUUCAUCCAGCACAGAAGGGUCCACACUGGCAAAAGGCCCUACCACUGUCCCUAGUAUAGUAAGACUUUCAGUGAAGCUCCAAACUCAUUAAGCACCAGAAAAUCCACUCUGGAGAGAAACCUUAUAUCUGUGGGGAACAUGACAAGGGCUUUAUGGGCAGCUCUCUGCUGCUGGCUCAACAGGGAAUGCAUACUGGGUUGAAGUCCUAUGUCUGUCCCCAGUUGAAGCUGAUAUGCCACCAGAGUCCAUAUAAGUCAUGUAUUUUCUGCUGCUCCAUCUGGGGAGACAGCUUUAGUCAGAAGACCUCCCUUACUCAGCAUAUCUGCCUGCAUACAGGGGAGAAGCCUUUUAAGUGUGGGGAGUGAGGGGAGAGCUUCAGCCUCCAUACCAAGCUCAACUACCAUAUUGCUUGGCACCAGCCUCAGGCACCCCCAGCCCAGGGCUCCAGCCACACCAGUCCUCCCCUUGCUCCAGCCCAGCAGAAGUUCAGGUCCUUCUAUUUCCAUCUCUUCCUAUUCAUACCCCUACUGCAACCUCCCUUUAUCCUGCCCCCUCAAACACACUGACUGAUUCUGCCGCCUACCCUACUCAGUCUCCAACCUCUGAUCAGAUCCAUUUUCCUCAGAUUCCUUACCUCACCCCAUCCUUACACCUUCACUUAUGUACCCAUUUCCACUGCCCGGUAUACAUCAGAUUUCCCCCAUUCCUCCUCUACUCUCCUUUCCCAGUGCUGCAUCUACCCCAAGGACACAUGCAGAAUCCAGAUUCCAAGUUUAUUCCUGUGGUGAACCAGAAGCAAUGGCUGCCAAGUUUACCUGUUCUCAGUGUGGGAAGAGUUUCCCAGGCAAUGCACCCAUACAGAUAAGCAGCCUUACAUCUACUCUGAGUGUGGGAAGCGCUUUACCCAGAGUUCCUUCCUAAUGCAUCACAGAAAGAUGCACUUUAGCCGAAAAACCACAUCUUUGUGUGGAGUGUGGCUGGAGCUUCAAUUCAGCAGUGUUCUCCUGAUCAACCACAGGAGCAUGCAUUCAGGGGAAUGGCCUUUUACCUGCCCCAGGUGCCAAGAGUGCUUCCAGGAGGCCUAGAAGUUGACCAUGCACCAUCAGACUACCCACCUAGCUACUCAGGAGGCUGGGGGUGAUGAGACCCAGAAGCUAUACAAGUGUGAAACUUGUGGGAAGAGGUUAGGCAACAGGCUACUCUGAAUCAAAACUAGAGGACUCAAUGCAGACUAAUCCUAUCCAUUCUAACAACUGUGGGUGUGGCUUUAGAGCGCCAAACUCCACCACCAUGGAACACACACUGGAGAGAAGCCCUACCAGUGCCUCCAGUGUGGGAAGACUUCCAACCAACCAUCUAACCUUGCCAGACACCAAAGAACCCAUGCAGUGCAGGUCUGAGUGAGACCUUGUAUAGCCUCUCAGGUACACCUGUGGAACAGGCAUACAUUUCCUUUCCUCCACCCAUACUAGAUUCUAAAGGAUUUUCUUUUACAUAUCAGUUGUCCUCAGAAAUGCUGGGGGUUUUGUAUAUUGGUGAGUUUUUUUUUCUUGUCAUUGUUUUUGGGGUUCUCCCCCCUUUGAAUUCUUUGCUCUCCUUUUUCUUAAAUCUCACAGUCUAUAGAGUAAAGGAAUUAGGCAGAUGGUAGACAAAGGUAUAUUAUUGAAAUAUGUUCUUGGUAUGGACAUGAGCAAUAUAAAGUGAUGUAUUAAUAAUAAUGGCUAAUAGUAAAUUAUUUCUCUUAUACCUUUCUUUUGGGGGGGGGGGGCGGUAAGAGCAGAUUGAACCUAGAGGCACUGAGCUAAAUCCCCAGCUCUUUUUAUUUUUUCGAGACAAGGUCUCUGCUAAAUUGCUGAGGCUGGUCUUGAACUCGUGCUCUUCUUGCCUCAGUCUCCCAAGCCACAGGGAUUACAGCCACUGCAUUACAGCUUCCUUUUGCCUAAUUUCUCUGGCUAAAAUUUCAAGUACUGUAUUGAAUAGAGUGCUGAGAGUAGACAUCCUGUCUUGUUCCUGACUUCAGAGGAAAUUCUUCCUUUAGUUUUUUUCAUUUGGUAUGAUGUUGGCUUUUGAGUUUGUUAUAUAUAGACUUUGUUAUGUUUAGGCAAGUUCCUUCCUACUUUCUUCAGAUUUUUUUUACAUCAUAAAAGGGUGUUGAAUUUUGUCAAAAGCUUUUUCUGUAUAUAUUAAGAUGAUCAUGUUACUUUUGUCCUUGAUUCUACAUAUGUGAUGAUUCACAUUUAUUGAUUUGCAUAUGUUGAACCAUCUUUGCAUCCCUGGAAUUAAACCAACUUGAUCAUGACAUAUGAUCUUUUUAAUGUAUUGUUGAAUUCAGUUUGAAAGUAUUAAGGAUUUUUGCAUCUAUGUUCA